AGUCGUAACAAGGUUUCCGUAGGUGAGUAGAGUGGACCCCCUUCCUACCCCCGCUCGCAUUUGCUAACAGUCGUCUAGGUGAACCUGCGGAAGGAUCAUUACCGAGCGAGGGUCCCAGCGGCCCAACCUCCCACCCCAUGUGUACCUUCCACGUUGCUUUGGCGGGCGGCCUCGCCCCCGCCAGAGACCCCACCGGAGACGGUGGCAUCAAACUCCCGAACGGUGAAGUCUGAGCUGAUACGAAAUGACCAAAACUUUCAACAACGGAUCUCUUGGUUCUGGCAUCGAUGAAGAACGCAGCGAAAUGCGAUAAGUAAUGUGAAUUGCAGAAUUCAGUGAAUCAUCGAAUCUUUGAACGCACAUUGCGCCCCCUGGCAUUCCGGGGGGCAUGCCUGUUCGAGCGUCAUUACACCUCUCAAGCACUGCUUGGUGUUGGGCCGCGCCCCCUGGGGCCGGCCCGAAAGCCAGCGGCGGCGUCGUCGACCCCCAGCGUUGCAAAACUCGCGCCGGGCGGCGGCGGCUCCUGCCAGACCCACCUUCUCAAGGUUGACCUCGGAUCAGGUAGGGAUACCCGCUGAACUUAAGCAUAUCAAUAAGCGGAGGAAAAGAAACCAACAGGGAUUGCCUCAGUAACGGCGAGUGAAGCGGCAACAGCUCAAAUUUGAAAUCUGGCCUCCUCGGGGUCCGAGUUGUACUUUGCAGAGGAUGCUUCGGGUGCGGUCCGGUCUAAGUUCCUUGGAACAGGACGUCGCAGAGGGUGAGAAUCCCGUACGUGACCGGCCACCAACCCCGCGUGAAGCUCCCUCGACGAGUCGAGUUGUUUGGGAAUGCAGCUCAAAAUGGGUGGUAAAUUUCAUCUAAAGCUAAAUACCGGCCAGAGACCGAUAGCGCACAAGUAGAGUGAUCGAAAGAUGAAAAGCACUUUGGAAAGAGAGUCAAACAGUACGUGAAAUUGUUGAAAGGGAAGCGCUUGCCGCCAGACUUGCCCGCGGCCGAUCAGCCGGUGUUUGCACCGGUGCACUCGGUCGCGGUCAGGCCAGCAUCGGCUCGGGCGGCGGGAGAAAGGUCGGGGGAACGUGGCUCCCUCGGGAGCGUUAUAGCCCCCGGCGCAAUGCCGCCCGCCCGGGUCGAGGACCGCGCUUCGGCUAGGAUGCUGGCGUAAUGGUGGCAAGCGACC
RNAcentral lists this ribosomal RNA (1177 nucleotides) under uncultured fungus. Its description in RNAcentral is "eukaryotic LSU rRNA". The stretch from base 548 to 1177 matches the Rfam family "Eukaryotic large subunit ribosomal RNA", at positions 1 to 649 of the family's 3401-position model. Lineage: Eukaryota; Fungi. The record is from RNAcentral.